GGGGAAUAUUGCACAAUGGGCGCAAGCCUGAUGCAGCGACGCCGCGUGAGGGAUGACGGCCUUCGGGUUGUAAACCUCUUUCACCAGGGACGAAGAGUGAUUGACGGUACCUGGAGAAGAAGCACCGGCCAACUACGUGCCAGCAGCCGCGGUAAUACGUAGGGUGCGAGCGUUGUCCGGAAUUACUGGGCGUAAAGAGCUCGUAGGCGGUUUGUCGCGUCGUUCGUGAAAUCUUGAUGCUUAACAUCAAGCGUGCGGGCGAUACGGGCAGACUUGAGUACUACAGGGGAGACUGGAAUUCCUGGUGUAGCGGUGAAAUGCGCAGAUAUCAGGAGGAACACCGGUGGCGAAGGCGGGUCUCUGGGUAGUAACUGACGCUGAGGAGCGAAAGCGUGGGUAGCGAAC
Molecule: ribosomal RNA, 405 nt
Filed under: uncultured bacterium
Lineage: Bacteria
Description: bacterial SSU rRNA
Rfam family: Bacterial small subunit ribosomal RNA
Source: RNAcentral